RNAcentral lists this ribosomal RNA (253 nucleotides) under uncultured bacterium. RNAcentral describes it as "partial 16S ribosomal RNA". It matches the Rfam family "Bacterial small subunit ribosomal RNA", at positions 524 to 776 of the family's 1533-position model. The record is from RNAcentral.
UACGUAGGGGGCUAGCGUUGCCCGGAAUCACUGGGCGUAAAGCGCACGCAGGCGGCUCUCUAAGUCAGGGGUGAAAUCCUGGAGCUCAACUCCAGAACUGCCUUUGAUACUGGGGAGCUCGAGUCCGGAAGAGGUGAGUGGAACUCCGAGUGUAGAGGUGAAAUUCGUAGAUAUUCGGAAGAACACCAGUGGCGAAGGCGGCUCACUGGUCCGGUACUGACGCUGAGGUGCGAAAGCGUGGGGAGCGAACAGG